Octopus bimaculoides (California two-spot octopus) is the source of this 110-nucleotide non-coding RNA. The record is from Rfam. Lineage: Eukaryota; Metazoa; Mollusca; Cephalopoda; Octopoda; Octopodidae.
GUAUGUAAGAAUUCAGCAGUACAUAUACUAAAAUGGGAAUGAUACAGAGAAGAUUAGCAUGGCCCCUGUGCAAGGAUGACAUGUAAAUUCAUGAAAUGUUCCAUAUUUCC